RNAcentral lists this ribosomal RNA (414 nucleotides) under Babesia bovis. RNAcentral describes it as "SSU rRNA". It matches the Rfam family "Eukaryotic small subunit ribosomal RNA", at positions 486 to 984 of the family's 1831-position model. The record is from RNAcentral. Lineage: Eukaryota; Apicomplexa; Aconoidasida; Piroplasmida; Babesiidae.
CGGGGCUACUGCUCUGUAAUUGGCAUGGGGGCGACCUUCACCCUCGCCCGAGUACCCAUUGGAGGGCAAGUCUGGUGCCAGCAGCCGCGGUAAUUCCAGCUCCAAUAGCGUAUAUUAAGCUUGUUGCAGUUAAAAAGCUCGUAGUUGUACUUUAUGUCCCUCGCGUGGUCCUUCCUCGCUAGGACGCCUCGUUACUUUGAGAAAAUUAGAGUGUUUCAAGCAGGUUUCGCCUGUAUAAUUGAGCAUGGAAUAACCUUGUAUGACCCCUGUCGUACCGUUGGUUGACUUUGGGUAAUGGUUAAUAGGAACGGUUGGGGGCAUUCGUACUCGACUGUCAGAGGUGAAAUUCUUAGAUUUGUCGAUGACGCACGACUGCGAAAGCAUUUGCCAAGGACGCUUCCAUUAAUCAAGAAC